RNAcentral lists this ribosomal RNA (502 nucleotides) under uncultured bacterium. RNAcentral's name for it is "partial 16S ribosomal RNA". It matches the Rfam family "Bacterial small subunit ribosomal RNA", at positions 29 to 523 of the family's 1533-position model. The record is from RNAcentral.
AUUGAACGCUGGCGGCAUGCUUUACACAUGCAAGUCGAACGGCAGCACGGGAGCUUGCUCCUGGUGGCGAGUGGCGAACGGGUGAGUAAUGCACCGGAACGUACCCAGUAAUGGGGGAUAACACAUCGAAAGAUGUGCUAAUACCGCAUACGCCCUGAGGGGGAAAGCGGGGGAUCGAAAGACCUCGCGUUAUUGGAGCGGCCGAUGCCGGAUUAGCUAGUUGGUGGGGUAAAGGCUCACCAAGGCGACGAUCCGUAGCUGGUCUGAGAGGACGACCAGCCACACAGGGACUGAGACACGGCCCAGACUCCUACGGGAGGCAGCAGUGGGGAAUUUUGGACAAUGGGCGAAAGCCUGAUCCAGCCAUGCCGCGUGAGUGAAGAAGGCCUUCGGGUUGUAAACCGCUUUUGUCAGGGAAGAAACGCUCUGGGCUAAUACCCCGGGGUAAUGACGGUACCUGAAGAAUAAGCACCGGCUAACUACGUGCCAGCCGCCGCCGUAA